This 490-nucleotide ribosomal RNA is filed under the name uncultured bacterium. RNAcentral's name for it is "partial 16S ribosomal RNA". It matches the Rfam family "Bacterial small subunit ribosomal RNA", at positions 30 to 507 of the family's 1533-position model. The record is from RNAcentral.
AUUGAACGCUGGCGGCAGGCCUAACACAUGCAAGUCGAACGGUAACAGGAAGCAGCUUGCUGCUUCGCUGACGAGUGGCGGACGGGUGAGUAAUGUCUGGGAAACUGCCUGAUGGAGGGGGAUAACUACUGGAAACGGUAGCUAAUACCGCAUAACGUCGCAAGACCAAAGAGGGGGACCUUAGGGCCUCUUGCCAUCGGAUGUGCCCAGAUGGGAUUAGCUAGUAGGUGGGGUAACGGCUCACCUAGGCGACGAUCCCUAGCUGGUCUGAGAGGAUGACCAGCCACACUGGAACUGAGACACGGUCCAGACUCCUACGGGAGGCAGCAGUGGGGAAUAUUGCACAAUGGGCGCAAGCCUGAUGCAGCCAUGCCGCGUGUAUGAAGAAGGCCUUCGGGUUGUAAAGUACUUUCAGCGGGGAGGAAGGGAGUAAAGUUAAUACCUUUGCUCAUUGACGUUACCCGCAGAAGGAGCGCCGGCUAACUCCGUG